GAUGAACGCUAGCUACAGGCUUAACACAUGCAAGUCGAGGGGUAACGAGAGGAAAGCUUGCUUUCCUUGUCGACGACCAGCGCACGGGUGAGUAACGCGUAUCCAACCUGCCCCCAACUAGGGAAUAACCUUGCGAAAGUAAGACUAAUACCCUAUACUUUCCUCAGAUGUCAUCUGACGAGGAAUAAAGAUUUAUCGGUUGUGGAUGGGGAUGCGUCUGAUUAGCUUGUUGGCGGGGUAACGGCCCACCAAGGCAACGAUCAGUAGGGGUUCUGAGAGGAAGGUCCCCCACAUUGGAACUGAGACACGGUCCAAACUCCUACGGGAGGCAGCAGUGAGGAAUAUUGGUCAAUGGGCGGAAGCCUGAACCAGCCAAGUAGCGUGCAGGAUGACGGCCCUAUGGGUUGUAAACUGCUUUUAUACAGGAAUAAAGUUAGCCACGUGUGGUUAUUUGUAGGUACUGUAUGAAUAAGGACCGGCUAAUUCCGUGCCAGCAGCCGCAGUAA
This 506-nucleotide ribosomal RNA is filed under the name uncultured bacterium. RNAcentral describes it as "partial 16S ribosomal RNA". It matches the Rfam family "Bacterial small subunit ribosomal RNA", at positions 28 to 523 of the family's 1533-position model. The record is from RNAcentral.